GAUGAACGCUAGCGAUAGGCCUAACACAUGCAAGUCGAGGGGCAUCACAUGAAGUAGCAAUACGGAUGGUGGCGACCGGCGCACGGGUGAGUAACACGUAUGCAACCUGCCUUCAACAAGGGGAUAACCCGUUGAAAGACGGACUAAUACCCUAUAACACAGGGGUCCCGCAUGGGAAUAUUUGUUAAAGGACAACCGGUUGAAGAUGGGCAUGCGUUCCAUUAGCUAGUUGGCGGGGUAACGCCCACCAAGGCAACGAUGGAUAGGGGAACUGAGAGGUUUAUCCCCCACACUGGUACUGAGACACGGACCAGACUCCUACGGGAGGCAGCAGUGAGGAAUAUUGGUCAAUGGACGCAAGUCUGAACCAGCCACGUCGCGUGAAGGAAGACGGCCCUACGGGUUGUAAACUUCUUUUAUACGGGAAUAAAGUGCCCCACGCGUGGGGUUUUGCAUGUACCGUAUGAAUAAGGAUCGGCUAACUCCGUGCCAGCAGCCG
RNAcentral lists this ribosomal RNA (499 nucleotides) under uncultured bacterium. RNAcentral's name for it is "bacterial SSU rRNA". It matches the Rfam family "Bacterial small subunit ribosomal RNA", at positions 28 to 517 of the family's 1533-position model. The record is from RNAcentral.